GUGCUCACUUUGGCAGCAUGUAUACUCAAACUGGAACGAUACAAGAGAAGAUUAGCAUGGCCCCUACGCAGGGAUGACAUGCAAAUUUGUGAAGCAUUCCAUAAGGAA
Tupaia belangeri (northern tree shrew) is the source of this 108-nucleotide small nuclear RNA. NCBI's taxonomy places the organism in Eukaryota, Metazoa, Chordata, Mammalia, Scandentia, Tupaiidae. The record is from Ensembl.